CUCUGAGAGAGGUCAGGUGACUGAGGUCAGGUGACUGAGGUCAGGUGACUCUGAGAGAGGUCAGGUGACUCUGAGAGAGGUCAGGUGACUCUGAGAGAGGUCA
This is a non-coding RNA of Labrus bergylta (ballan wrasse), 103 nucleotides long. Lineage: Eukaryota; Metazoa; Chordata; Actinopteri; Labriformes; Labridae. The record is from RefSeq and is a predicted model, not a curated record.